GCCCUGGUGGCACAAAUGAUUGAGCUCUUGGCUGCUAACUAAAAGGUUGGUGGUUCGAAUUCACUCAGAGGCU
Molecule: transfer RNA, 73 nt
Filed under: Loxodonta africana (African savanna elephant)
Lineage: Eukaryota; Metazoa; Chordata; Mammalia; Proboscidea; Elephantidae
Rfam family: tRNA
About the family: Transfer RNA (tRNA) molecules are approximately 80 nucleotides in length.
Source: Rfam by way of RNAcentral